Molecule: long non-coding RNA, 536 nt
Organism: Xiphias gladius (swordfish)
Lineage: Eukaryota; Metazoa; Chordata; Actinopteri; Istiophoriformes; Xiphiidae
Exons: 3
Source: RefSeq, a predicted model, not a curated record
AGUAGUAGUUUGAUAAAAUAACUUUUUGGUUUUUGGCCAGGGGCUUGUCCACUCAUGGAGCUGAUGAAACUCUCAAAGGAAAAAGACUUAAAUUGCUGUCGAUGGGUGUGGACUACAUACAGUGCAGCGACUGUUCAUACUUAAGAGUUAAAUCAAAGCUGUGUUUGUCUGUUCUGAGCGUAAUAAUUUUGCCAGGCUGUUACUCUAUCUGAUGGCAAACAGUGGAGGACGUAUGGGUGCUGCUACACCGACUGUGGUGAUGAAGAGUGGCAAUGUCACUCAACCCGAACACUCUGUACAAGACAGAAUAGAAGAAAGAUUGUGAAGUUUCGUCAUAAUCAGAGGUGUAUUUGUGGGAAUUGAGCAACGAUGCCUACAGAGCCCAAGAAUGUCUGCUACAGGGAGAUACCACAGUUUACUAGGUGUACAGGAGGACUGCAGCUGCUUCAGAACCAACCAUCAUACAUGGUGAAUCAUGCUGCCUGGAAGCUCAAGGAAGGUACAUGUGGGGUUCUACCUCCCAAACUGGGAGCUGG